This 467-nucleotide ribosomal RNA is filed under the name uncultured bacterium. RNAcentral describes it as "partial 16S ribosomal RNA". It matches the Rfam family "Bacterial small subunit ribosomal RNA", at positions 29 to 507 of the family's 1533-position model. The record is from RNAcentral.
ACGAACGCUGGCGGCGUGCUUCACACAUGCAAGUCGAACGGAAAGGCCCUGCUUUUGUGGGGUGCUCGAGUGGCGAACGGGUGAGUAACACGUGAGUAACCUGCCCUUGACUUUGGGAUAACUUCAGGAAACUGGGGCUAAUACCGGAUAGGAGCUCCUGCUGCAUGGUGGGGGUUGGAAAGUUUCGGCGGUUGGGGAUGGACUCGCGGCUUAUCAGCUUGUUGGUGGGGUAGUGGCUUACCAAGGCCUUGACGGGUAGCCGGCCUGAGAGGGUGACCGGCCACAUUGGGACUGAGAUACGGCCCAGACUCCUACGGGAGGCAGCAGUGGGGAAUAUUGCACAAUGGGCGGAAGCCUGAUGCAGCAACGCCGCGUGCGGGAUGACGGCCUUCGGGUUGUAAACCGCUUUCGCCUGUGACGAAGCGUGAGUGACGGUAAUGGGUAAAGAAGCACCGGCUAACUACGUG